GAUGAAGAACGCAGCGAAAUGCGAUAAGUAAUGCGAAUUGCAGAAUUCCAGUGAGUCAUCGAAUCUUUGAACGCACAUUGCGCCCUUUGGUAUUCCGAAGGGCAUGCCUGUUCGAGCGUCAUUAUCACCCCUCAAGCCCUCGGCUUGGUGUUGGACGGUUUGGUGGAGGCCCCCUCGGGGGCUCCUGCCCCUCCCAAAGAUAAUGACGGCGGCCUCGUUGGACCCCCGGUACACUGAGUUCUUCACGGGACACGUAUCGGACACAUGGGUUUACGGGACACGGUCUGCCUCCCCUCAGGGAGAAUCUUUCUAAGGUUGACCUCGGAUCAGGUAGGGAUACCCGCUGAACUUAAGCAUAUCAAUAAGCGGAGGA
RNAcentral lists this unclassified non-coding RNA (373 nucleotides) under soil metagenome. Its description in RNAcentral is "partial contains 5.8S ribosomal RNA, internal transcribed spacer 2, and large subunit ribosomal RNA". The stretch from base 1 to 121 matches the Rfam family "5.8S ribosomal RNA", at positions 35 to 154 of the family's 154-position model. The record is from RNAcentral.